Molecule: long non-coding RNA, 175 nt
Organism: Gordionus sp. m RMFG-2023
Lineage: Eukaryota; Metazoa; Nematomorpha; Gordioida; Chordodea; Parachordodidae
Exons: 3
Source: RefSeq, a predicted model, not a curated record
AACAAGGUUGUCAAACAUGUGAUUGCGAAUGUCCUCUGAGGAAAUGCACGGUAUGUCCAUAUAGUUACCAAUUUGAUGAGCAGGGUUGUCAAACAUGUGAUUGCUCUUUGAUCACACCCAGAUGUUCUAACAGAUGCGACAAUGGAUUUGAAAGAGACAAGUAUGGUUGUGCAAC